This 305-nucleotide ribosomal RNA is filed under the name uncultured bacterium. RNAcentral describes it as "bacterial SSU rRNA". It matches the Rfam family "Bacterial small subunit ribosomal RNA", at positions 333 to 635 of the family's 1533-position model. The record is from RNAcentral.
GGAGGCCUACGGGGCGCAGCAGUGAGGAAUAUUGGUCAAUGGGCGAGAGCCUGAACCAGCCAAGUCGCGUGAGGGAAGACGGUCCUAUGGAUUGUAAACCUCUUUUGCCGGGGAGCAAAAAGCGGUACGUGUACCGCAUCGAGAGUACCCGGAGAAAAAGCAUCGGCUAACUCCGUGCCAGCAGCCGCGGUAAUACGGAGGAUGCGAGCGUUAUCCGGAUUUAUUGGGUUUAAAGGGUGCGUAGGCGGCCUUUUAAGUCAGCGGUGAAAGUCUGUGGCUCAACCAUAGAAUUGCCGUUGAAACUG